This 629-nucleotide ribosomal RNA is filed under the name Porites furcata. RNAcentral describes it as "partial 18S ribosomal RNA". The stretch from base 210 to 363 matches the Rfam family "5.8S ribosomal RNA". Lineage: Eukaryota; Metazoa; Cnidaria; Anthozoa; Scleractinia; Poritidae. The record is from RNAcentral.
CCGAUGAAUGUGUGAUCAUUAAUUGACCAGUGUGAACCGUCCAACAAAUCUUUAGGGGUCGGCACAGGUAGAAGUGGUCGUUAAAUGGUGGAUAUUCCUUCCAGCAGCCCCGCCAUUGUGUGCUACUAUGCAUAUUGAACGUAAAAGACUGAGAGAACGUAUCUUCAUGAUCACCAUGAAAGGAAAAACUUUUAAAGAAAGAGAUAAACAACUUUUGACGGUGGAUCUCUUGGCUCACGUAUCGAUGAAGAACGCAGCCAGCUGCGAUAUGUAGUGUGAAUUGCAGAAUUCAGUGAAUCAUUGAAUCUUUGAACGCAAAUGGCGCUCUUGGGUUCUCCCAGGGGCAUGUCUGUCUGAGUGUCGGAUUUUAUCGAACGCACACUCACUCGUGAGUGUGCGGUAUUGAGGUGUCACGGCGUGAAGAAUCAGUGUAUUAAUGAUCGCCGUGUCCCUUGAAGAGCAGCAGCAGCAGCAGCAUUCUCUAUAGAAACUUGAGUGCGAAGGCUAAAGAUAUUGCUAUUUUCCUUCGCUCCAGGUUGGUUUAGGGUUGUUGGGUUGCUGAAAAAGAGAAACAAACAAACCCAAUCAAUCUUGACCUCAGGUCAGGCAAGGCUACCCGCUGAAUUUAA